GAGGGAUGAGAUUUGGGUAGAGGAACAGGGAGAGGGAUGCAGGGGGGUAAGAUAUUCUAUGAUUAUAAUAUGAUUAUUUUAUGCUUUGAUUAUUGUGUUUAACGCCAGGCGAGGCCUAGGUUGGCAUCGUGAAAUGGAAGAGCUUUUGAAGUGUGAAUGCACUGUUUGUUGUAGCAGCAACAGCAGCAUGAAAAUGGUUACCUAGUUUCAUUUUCCACCAAAUUCACAUUUAUGGAACAGGGAUUGACUUCUGGGCAGGUCAUUUCUCUCGUCAAACAGAAUGAGUUUAGUGACCUUUAGUGAAGGGAAGGUACUGGGAUGUCUGGUCUGUUCAGCAGGGUUUAUGGUCCGUGCUGUCCUUGCUCCUUGGGACCUCCCUACCCCAUUGAAGUUGGCAUUUUAAAAUACUUUAGGUUAAGGUAACAGUAGGGAUUAAGGUUAGGGUUAAGGUAACAGUAGGGAUUAGGGUUAGGGUUAAGGUAACUGUAGGGAUUAAGGUUAGGGUUAAGGUAACUGUAGGGAUUAAGGUUAGGGUAACAGUAGGGAUUAAGGUUAGGGUUAAGGUAACUGUAGGGAUUAAGGUUAGGGUAACAGUAGGGAUUAAGGUUAGGGUUAAGGUAACUGUAGGGAUUAAGGUUAGGGUAACAGUAGGGAUUAAGGUUAGGGUAACAGUAGGGAUUAAGGUUAGGGUUAGGUUUAGGGUAACAGUAGGGGUUAAAGUUAGGGUUAGGGUAACAGUAGGGAUUAAGGUUAGGGUUAGUUUAGGGACAUCCCAAGGAUCCCAGAUAGCACUGACCCAAGGUUUACAGUAACAAGGAAGUGCUGGUCGGUGACUGUUGGGUCAGAGUAGGGAAAUCACUUCAGUUUAAAUGGGUAUAAAAUACAGGAUAUACUGUAUGUAAUGUAGGCCACAUACGGACCGUUUCCACCAUCUCUCGCUGGGUGUGUGUGUGUCAUCAUUGUUUGAGAGCUUCCUGUGGCUCAGUUGGUAGAGCAUGGAGUUUGCAACGCCAGCAUGGUGUGUGCAACGCCAGGGUUGUGGGUUCGAUUCCCA
This 1054-nucleotide long non-coding RNA is filed under the name Salmo salar (Atlantic salmon). RNAcentral's name for it is "lncRNA (ENSSSAG00000110452.1)". The stretch from base 971 to 1054 matches the Rfam family "tRNA", at positions 1 to 62 of the family's 71-position model. Lineage: Eukaryota; Metazoa; Chordata; Actinopteri; Salmoniformes; Salmonidae. The record is from RNAcentral.